GGUAGCCUAGUGGUUAGGAUUCAGCAUUGUCACUGCUGUGGCUUGGGUUCAAUCCCUAACC
RNAcentral lists this transfer RNA (61 nucleotides) under Sus scrofa (pig). It matches the Rfam family "tRNA", at positions 6 to 65 of the family's 71-position model. Rfam says of the family: Transfer RNA (tRNA) molecules are approximately 80 nucleotides in length. Their secondary structure includes four short double-helical elements and three loops (D, anti-codon, and T loops). Lineage: Eukaryota; Metazoa; Chordata; Mammalia; Artiodactyla; Suidae. The record is from Rfam by way of RNAcentral.